Molecule: unclassified non-coding RNA, 1863 nt
Filed under: Venturia canescens
Lineage: Eukaryota; Metazoa; Arthropoda; Insecta; Hymenoptera; Ichneumonidae
Description: uncharacterized LOC122406667, transcript variant X1
Source: RNAcentral
GCCUGGAAAGCAGUUCAAAUUUUUGUGUAAUUUUUGCUUCGAUAUUUACUCAUUGAAGGGUGGAAAUCAUUUGAAAAAUUAAUGUUUUCUACUCUUGAUGCUUACCAUUGGUGACUUAUAUUUACGUUGAAUUACUUGUCUAGUUUUUGGAUCUGGAAAAGAAAGACGAAGAAGCCUCUUAGUGAUUUUAUUAAUCACGGUAGAAUUGAAAAAAAAAUAUUUUUAAUUUAUCAAUAAAAUUAUUAUCACCGUCGACAUACUUAAAAUGAUUAGUCAUGGUGUCGAAACAAAAUACACUUUUUGUUAUUAAUAUAAUUGAAUAAAAAUGAGAAAGCAAACACACGAAAAAACAAGCGGAAAAAAGUAUGUUAAUAAACACGAAUUAUACUCACUGAAUUCUUCCAAAACGAAGAUCCCACCAUUCUGAGUAAAGCACUUGCUGAUAUGAUCUAGUCUUACAAAGAACUGCAAAUAACCCAAUCGUGUCCCAUUAGUUGCGAAAAACAAAGAAAUUAAUCAAGUGCUUAAAGUGUAUUCAUGCCCUAAAUUUUGUUUCGGGAAUAUCAUUGAUAUAUGAUAUUGGCUAUCAACAAUGUGUAUUGCAAGGAUUCAAUUCGGUGUUUGAAGCUCAGUUACAAUGUUGAUGUUUUUUCAAACGAAUUAAACUUCAGAACCAUCCAAACGGAGUGUGGAGAAAAUUGUGAAAUGAAACGUCUUCAGUGAUUGUUCUAUGCAACAAAGCAUUGACGAAUUACAAGUCUUCGAAGUUCAACCAAUUGAUAGUCCGCUUUGGCUCGGUGGGCGGAGCGAAUGCGCACGGCUCUGAUCAGACUUCCGAAUGGUUCAACUUCGGAGGUUAUAAUAACUGAUGAAUAUUUUGUGGUAGAGAAAAGCGAUCAAGAACUUUCGUCUCAAUAUUUCAAGCUGAAUCCAAUUGCGCACUUCAGACCUUCGAUUCCAUGUUUCUCAGAGUACGUUUUUUUUAAGCGGAGAGAUAUCUACAGCUUCGGGAAAGCUUUUUCGUGCAGUGGUGCCAACUAGUUGUCAUUAUUAAACGAUCGAUCGAAAAGUCCACGCACGAAGACUGUAAAACGUAAAACAGUAACUUGAAUACUGCUCGUUCAGUUUUAACGCAAAUGAACAUCGAGCUGAUGGAACGACGAGUUACCGAUUCAAAUACAAACAAAAUAAACCGAUAGAAUUUAUCAUUUCGAAGGUAAAUGCCUCGAAGUAUUUUUGUCCGUUCGACAUAUUGAAAAAACAAACAAACUUCACACACCAGAGACACAGCAACUUUUUGAUCGAAAUCACCCGAAUCACGUUAAAGAUAAAACCAUGCAACAAAGGAAUCAAGCGGCUCGUUUACGUGAUUCGUCUAUGGGACAUUUCAUGAAACAUCUAUCACAACUAACACCGAUCAGUGGUAGGUAAAACAGUGAGGGGGAAAAACGUAUUUUUUAAAAAAAGUCGACGUACCUUGCUAUUGGCGAACAGGAGACCAACACCUUCAAUGCAAACCUGGAGAAGUCCACCUUCCCCUGUUCGCAUAUCCUGGACCGGAAACUCGUCACCGAGCUCGACACCCAAGUUCGCAUGACCUCGCGCUGCUGCCUUUUCUAUCGCGUCUCUUAUACAAUAGUAAAGAUCCUUGCACUGAAAAAUCAAGGUUUGAAAAUAAUGUAAAUCAGUUUACCGCUGAAUGCCUGAGAUUCUUUCGAGAGAUUCUCGAAUGGUCACGCAUCUAAUUCCUAUCAUUUUUCUUUUGACAGAAAAAAAUCUCAGAUUUGAAAGAUAUUUCAACUCAACGAAUGUAAAAAAUGAAUUUUUAUUCGCCAAAAUAUAAGCAACCGAAUACGAAGAGUA